AAGGUAACAUUGCAACUAAAUUAUCAUAACUAAAAAUAGAAAACAUUAAAGUAAAAUAAAAUACUAAUCCUAACACUACAACAAACAUAUAUCUAGCACAGUUAAAAUUAUUAAUGUGCAUCACUAAAUUAAAAACAUAAAACCCAACUUAACAAGCUAUUGGAAAUUAAAUUAAAGCAAAAGAAAUAAAAAUAAAAUAAAAUAAAUAAAAAAAAGUAAAAAAAAAAACAUAAAUUCCUACCACAUCACGUGACCUCCUUUAUACCCAUCCAAAUCCAACUCUCUUUUUCUUCCAUUCAAGUAAAAUGAAAUCACCAUUUAAAAGCAAAGUAAAAAUUCAAGGCCGUGACACCUCCAGCCAUUGAUGUCCGUGCCCUCUCUUUGGCAGAAAAAUUAAUCAUCCUUCAUUCUCCCAAAAUAAACACCACAUGCGCAUAUAAUCAGAGACGUGACAGCAGAAGGCAUAUUCUAACUAAAAAAAAUAAAAUAGCUACAACGCUUCUAAAAGCUAUACCAUAAUGAAAUUUUCGUGCUACUUUUCUAAAAGCAAGGAUGUAACCCGUGCUGCAAUAAGAAACAUGUUCAAGCAUAAAUAAUAAAACUGAAAGCCCCCAGGCCGUGACACCUCAUGGUUAAUUGAAAUCAACAUUUUAAAACCAAAGCAAAUGAAACCGUGAAUUCCCGAAAAAAAGAAAAAAAAAAAGAAAGGCUGCAGCAUAGUUUUCAUUCAAUGAAAAAUAAAUAAAACCAUUUCUCAUCAUUCCCAAAGCUUGUAGCAAAAUAAAAGAAAACAAUUUGAAAAUGCCCCUAGGCCGUGACAGCAUUGGAAUAGAGAGAAUGAUAGAAUACUCAAUGCAAAGAUAUUCAUCCAAAAUCAAACAACUCAAAAGAAAAUUCAAUGGCACGAGAACUGUUCCAGCCAAGCAGAGAAAAGAAAAAAUGACGGCUCGCUGCUCCUCCUUAGGACCGUGAGUUCCUAAAAAUAUAGGGUGGGGUCCACCCAAAAACCCUAGGGUAGGACAUGUGUCACCAAAAUUUGGGCUCCAACAUAUUUUUAAUGGCCCAAUGUGCAAAGGUUGUCUAAAAAAAACUAGACUUUUAAAUUACACAUUGAUUAAUUCCAAACUACUGAAUUAAAAUAUAACUAAUUCUAAAUUUUCCAUGUAGGGAGUCUUGAAUUUAUUUGUUGUCCUCCAAAUGUCCCAAAUUGUGUUUCCAAAAUUUUCCCUAAAAAUAAUAAUGCAAAUAAUUAGCUCAAAAUAUUCAAAUUAAUUAAAAUUAGAAUUUCU
This 1289-nucleotide long non-coding RNA is filed under the name Vigna radiata. RNAcentral describes it as "long non-coding RNA (VRAD_LNC017826)". The record is from RNAcentral. Lineage: Eukaryota; Viridiplantae; Streptophyta; Magnoliopsida; Fabales; Fabaceae.